RNAcentral lists this long non-coding RNA (3268 nucleotides) under Mus musculus (house mouse). RNAcentral's name for it is "long non-coding RNA chr11:59699033-59702301". The record is from RNAcentral. Lineage: Eukaryota; Metazoa; Chordata; Mammalia; Rodentia; Muridae.
AAACUUGGCGGGACAUCCAGGUCUAAACGUUAUUGUGCAUGGGUCAUUUCUAGCGCAUGGUUUACUAUGUAGUCAGUUGAUGAGUUUCUGUCAGAUUAUGGGCAGUACAUACAUAUGGGUAGUGUACAUAGCUAGUACCUUUGAGAGAGAGGGAAGUGACCAAACCAGCAGUGGCAGCCAUGUUGAAAUGUGUCUAAAGUGUCACUUUGGGCUUGUAAGUUUCCAUGUUGCAUCAGGAAGCUCACAUAAAAGAACACUACAAAGGAGGCCAUCAGUGUGAAGACGAGGCUGCAGGAGUUAGUCAGGGUAGAGGCUAGAAAGGAAAAGGCCAUUUCAGUAGAUGUCGGGAAAGAAGUAGCAUGAGUGCUCUUGCGGGGACUGAGGGUGACAGAAGCUUACCCAUGCCCUCUGGUCUGCAUCCUGUCAUGUCAGGGUUACCCUUUGUGUUUUCCCUGGGACAAGGAGAGAUGUCCUCUCCCACUAUAUCUUCUGCCCAUUUGGAUGGACAGGGUUCUGAGUCCAGUGCUUGCUCAUGCUGCUGAGCCUCAGCCCAGAGGUUUUCCCUUGUGUUCUUUCUGAACAAGGUCUUAAGAAGAGUUAGUGUACCUCAAGGCUAUGUGCUUAAUGUGUAGUGCCAUCUUUGAUUGAAACAAUUAGAGCAGAGAUACUCUUGGUGUAUACCAGUGAGAGGCUGAGCAUGCAUAAGACAUCUUCCACAACAAAGAAGAAUCACCUUAAAGUUUGUUAGUGUCCAGAAUAAGAAUUGGUUUGGCUGUUGGCUUACUUACUUUUUUUGCUAACUUAAAAACGUUUCAUUUGCUAUUAGCACAGGACACAGGACUCACCUACCUGAUUCCUGGAGUAGAUGGCAGGUUAGGGUUAUUUUACAGCUUUUUUUCAUCUUGAGGGGUUUCUGUGGGAUUCACUCACAGAACACAUCUAUAUUUCCUAUGGCUUUUACAAUGCUUAUGAAACAUCUCCAUCUGGGUGCUUUUAUCCAAAAGCAACAUCUUUGAAUAGUCUAUGAUGGCUUCUGGUCCUCCUCUUAUACCUGGAUAAACUCCAGCCCUCACUGGUAGCCUGCCCUUCCCAGCUGACUGGCUGUAAGAUUGAGUUGUAUUUCCUUCCUUAACACUUAGUCACAGUCUGUUUCAAAUUGAUGUUUUCCUGUUAUAUAUUAUACUACCCUUUCCCUUCUUUUAAGUACUUUCUUACCAGCCAGACUAUGGUUUUCCCCUGUGGCUGGAGGUUUUGAUAAUUCUUGGCUUCUUCCCAUGUUGUCUGGGUAGGGUUCAGUAGACCAGGCAUAGCAUGAUGCGUGGAGUUAAGGCUCACCAUUGUUGAGAACUGGAGAGAAAGAUGGGUUAGUGUGGUCCCAGAAUAGUCAUGAAUGUGGUGGCUUUGACUAGCCUCUGUAAAAAGGGGAAAUGAUGAUGUCCAGAAAACUUGAGAACAGGUGACUCUCUGAUGGUUACAGUGUGCCUUCAGGAGGUGGGUAGUGGUACUAGCUCUGGGUGCCUUGGGAUUCUGGCUGGCUCCCUGGUCUUACCAUUACCUUUCCAGGCAUAGCUAAAAUACCAUUUACUUUUGAGAAUCUCUUUUUCUUUGGGGCGGAUAGGUUUCUUUCUCCAUAUUCCCAAGUAAUGUGUGAAGGUGAGGCAGAUUUCCCUAAAAAAGAAGAGAAGCUUCCAGAGUGUGUGUUGAGGUGAGGGGCAUAGUAGCCCAUAGACAUAGUAGAGCCUGAAGAGGCUAGGCUUACUAUUUUUCAGGAGAGGACAAGCAAGGAGCCUGGAAAGCCCACUGAUACUGUCCUUUGGGUGUUGCUUCAUGUCUGCAUCUUAAAGGAACUGAUACAAGUCUACAGGUUUGAUUGGCAUCUGGCAGGAGGUUCUGGCCCCUGUAAUGGGCCUGUUCUCUUCCUUUGCCUGAAUACAAGUAAGGCAAACAGAUGGUCCCAUGCUUUGUUGUCUUGUAUUGUGGUAAAAUAUGCAUAAAAUACAGCUCACUACUCAGAGCACAUAGCACAAAGCAAGUAAGGCGGCAGUGGGUGCUCACACAUACAGCCAUCACUAUGCAACUACAUGAGAGCUCUGUCACCUUUUCAAUAGAAGUUGUUGCCAUUAAGAUCUGACCCUUAGCUCCAUUCUCUUGUGUGUCAGCCUGAGUCCAUCAUGAACCUUGUACAAAUUGCCAUCCCUUACCAGAAAUGUUUGGGACAGGUAGUGGUUAGGAUAUUAGUGUUGGUUUUUGUUUUUUUUUGUUUUGUUUUUUUUUGUUUUUUUUGUUUUUUUUACAUUCUGGGGUAUUUGUAUAAAUAGUAUUUGAUAUCUUGGUGAUAAGAGCCAAGUCUAAACAGAAAAAUAAUUUAUGUUUCACUUAUACCUCAUACACUGAGCCUGAAGGUAAUUUUGUACCAUGGUUUUUAUUUCAGAUCUCAGACUUUGUGUAAGUGGACUUUUUUUUUUUCCUGUUUUUAAGAGAUGCAGGCCAAAGAUCUUUAAGAGGUGGGACCAGUGGUCAAUUUUAGGUCAUUAGAAUAUGGCUACCAAAUGGAUUGUCGGGCCUUGAUUUCUGCAUCUUAGAGAUGUGACUACUGGCCCUUAACACAUUAUUUUAGUUAGGGGUUUAUUGCUGUAAAGAGACACCAUGACCAUGACAACUAAAAGAAAACAUUUAAUUGAGGCUGGCUUAUAGUUUCAGAGAUUUAGUCCAACAUCAUCAUGGCAGAGUGCAGACAGACAUGCUGAAGACAGAGCUAAAAGUUCUACAUCCUGACCCACAGACAGCAGAAGGAAACUGUUCCACAAAGGGAUGGGUAGCUUGAGCAUAGGAGACCUCAAAGCCUGUCCCCACAGUGACACACUUCCUCCAACAAGGCUACUCCAUAUGGGCCAAACAUUCACAUACAUGACUCUUGGGGUGAGGGUGGGGGGAUGUCUACUCAAAUCACCACCCUCACAUUCCUACCACGAUGUACUAUACUAUCUUCACCAGAGGCCAGACCAAUAAACCGUUAGAACUGAGUCUAAGCAAACUUUCUCUACUUAAGAAGCCAGCAAGAUAGGUAAAAGGCUUGCCACACAAGCCUGAUAGCCUGAGUUUAGAGCUCACAGAAAAGCUAGCUAUGAUGGUUAAUGCCUGUAACUCUAGCAUCUCAUAUUGAGUUGGAGCCAGUGAGCCUGAAAUAUGCAGUACAGUGGGAGGAAAAAAAGAGACCCUGUCUCAAACAAGAUGAAAGUAAGGUCCUUUGACUACCACACUAGCACAC